Molecule: long non-coding RNA, 737 nt
Organism: Phyllopteryx taeniolatus (common seadragon)
Lineage: Eukaryota; Metazoa; Chordata; Actinopteri; Syngnathiformes; Syngnathidae
Exons: 3
Source: RefSeq, a predicted model, not a curated record
GGUCAACCACAGUGGUGCAGAGUGAACUAAAACAAUUUAAUGGAAAAAUUAUGUCUAUAAAAGCUGUACUGUAUCACACUAUAAGGUUCUCGGUUUUAUGACGGCUCCGGUUUCCUCCCACAUCCCAAAAACAUGCAGGGUAGGUUAAUUGAAGACACUAAAUUGCCCGUAGCUAUGAAUGUGAGUGCGAAUGAUUGUUUGUUUAUAUGUGCCCUGCGAUUGGCUGGCGACCAGUUCAGGGUGUACCUUGCCUCUCGGCCAAAGAUAGCUGGGAUAGGCUCCAGCACGCCCGCGACCUUAGUGAGGAUAAGCGGAACGGAAGAUGAAUGAAUGAAUGAGUUGCGAUGGGUGAAUCGUGAGGAACAUCUGAGGAGGAUGCUCACAUAUGGAGGUCCUCAAGGAGGAAAGGCGAUGGAAGUUCCUUGUAAGAGGGAAACAGGCAGUGGAUCAGCUUGAUGAAGCCUUUACCGCCUACCAGCGUGGGAGGAUGGAGAUCCAUGAUGAGAAAAUUGGCAAUGGCUUUGGUCACUUGAGCAGAGGACCCUAUUGAAAACAUAGACCAGCGUGCCGUUACCCAUCACUGACAUUGUGUAGAAAGAACACUUUCAGAACUUAAGCUGGUCCAGGUGGAGACAUCACUGAUGAGAGGCAAAGGGCUCUGUGAUUGGCUGUGGUCUCCACUCUCUGUCUGAGAGGAGCUGCUGGGUUCCGGGAGGGUAACCGACUGAAUGUCCUGC